This 418-nucleotide unclassified non-coding RNA is filed under the name Hevea brasiliensis (rubber tree). The record is from RNAcentral. Lineage: Eukaryota; Viridiplantae; Streptophyta; Magnoliopsida; Malpighiales; Euphorbiaceae.
AAAUUACCGUUUGUAUGUAGUUGUGCCUCUUCCCACAUGCAACGGAAACACAGUGAGAAAAAAAAAAUCGUGCUUUUGUUGUUAGAAAUUGCAAGUCAAAAAAAUUUCUUAACAAAGAAAAAAAAAUCAAUGAAAGAAGAGAUUUGGCAAAUCCAAAAGCUAAUUGCCCAAUAGUCUAGUUUACAAAAAUCAAAACCCAUAAACCAAAUAUCCAAGACUCAAAAACAGAACAAGAGAGCCGUAAACAAGAACGUGUGGGCUUGGAAAAAAAAAUUGAAAUGAAGCAAAAUCAAACGGGAUCGAUCUGGAUUCAUCAGAUUGACACAAAGAAAAAUAGGUCAAACACACUUAAAAUCCUUCCCCGCCGCAAAAGGAGAUAAAUCGAAACAAUAAAAAAUAACAGAAAGCAUGAAUUGAU